Molecule: ribosomal RNA, 484 nt
Filed under: uncultured bacterium
Lineage: Bacteria
Description: partial 16S ribosomal RNA
Rfam family: Bacterial small subunit ribosomal RNA
Source: RNAcentral
AUUGAACGCUGGCGGCAUGCUUUACACAUGCAAGUCGAACGGCAGCGCGGGCUUCGGCCUGGCGGCGAGUGGCGAACGGGUGAGUAAUACAUCGGAACGUGCCCAGUAGUGGGGGAUAGCUCGGCGAAAGCCGGAUUAAUACCGCAUACGACCUGAGGGUGAAAGCGGGGGAUCUUCGGACCUCGCGCUAUUUGAGCGGCCGAUGGCAGAUUAGCUAGUUGGUGGGGUAAAGGCCUACCAAGGCGACGAUCUGUAGCUGGUCUGAGAGGACGACCAGCCACACUGGGACUGAGACACGGCCCAGACUCCUACGGGAGGCAGCAGUGGGGAAUUUUGGACAAUGGGCGAAAGCCUGAUCCAGCAAUGCCGCGUGUGUGAUGAAGGCCUUCGGGUUGUAAAGCACUUUUGGCGGGAACGAAAAGGACUGUGCCAAUACCACGGUUCGAUGACGGUACCCGAAGAAUAAGCACCGGCUAACUACGUG